This 497-nucleotide ribosomal RNA is filed under the name uncultured bacterium. Its description in RNAcentral is "partial 16S ribosomal RNA". It matches the Rfam family "Bacterial small subunit ribosomal RNA", at positions 28 to 507 of the family's 1533-position model. The record is from RNAcentral.
GAUGAACGCUGGCGGCGUGCCUAAUACAUGCAAGUCGAGCGAACAGAUAAGGAGCUUGCUCCUUUGACGUUAGCGGCGGACGGGUGAGUAACACGUGGGUAACCUACCUAUAAGACUGGGAUAACUUCGGGAAACCGGAGCUAAUACCGGAUAACAUUUGGAACCGCAUGGUUCUAAAGUGAAAGAUGGUUUUGCUAUCACUUAUAGAUGGACCCGCGCCGUAUUAGCUAGUUGGUAAGGUAACGGCUUACCAAGGCAACGAUACGUAGCCGACCUGAGAGGGUGAUCGGCCACACUGGAACUGAGACACGGUCCAGCCUCCUACGGGAGGCAGCAGUAGGGAAUCUUCCGCAAUGGGCGAAAGCCUGACGGAGCAACGCCGCGUGAGUGAUGAAGGGUUUCGGCUCGUAAAACUCUGUGAUUAGGGAAGAACAAAUGUGUAAGUAACUGUGCACGUCUUGACGGUACCUAAUCAGAAAGCCACGGCUAUCUACGUG